UACAGAGGGGGCAAGCGUUGUUCGGAAUUACUGGGCGUAAAGCGUGCGCAGGCGGUUUUGUAAGCCAGAUGUGAAAUCCCCGGGCUUAACCUGGGAAUGGCAUUUGGGACUGCAAGGCUUGAGUGCGGCAGAGGAGACUGGAAUUCCCGGUGUAGCAGUGAAAUGCGUAGAUAUCGGGAGGAAUACCGAUGGCGAAGGCAGGUCUCUGGGCUGACACUGACGCUCAUGCACGAAAGCCAGGGGAGCGAACGGG
This 253-nucleotide ribosomal RNA is filed under the name uncultured bacterium. Its description in RNAcentral is "partial 16S ribosomal RNA". It matches the Rfam family "Bacterial small subunit ribosomal RNA", at positions 524 to 776 of the family's 1533-position model. The record is from RNAcentral.